RNAcentral lists this ribosomal RNA (421 nucleotides) under uncultured bacterium. RNAcentral describes it as "bacterial SSU rRNA". It matches the Rfam family "Bacterial small subunit ribosomal RNA", at positions 355 to 774 of the family's 1533-position model. The record is from RNAcentral.
UAAGGAAUAUUGGACAAUGGAGGCAACUCUGAUCCAGCCAUGCCGCGUGAAGGAAUAAGGCCCUAUGGGUUGUAAACUUCUUUUAGACGGGACAAAACCCCUUUACGUGUAAAGGGUUGAUGGUACUGUCAGAAUAAGCAUCGGCUAACUUCGUGCCAGCAGCCGCGGUAUACGAAGGAUGCAAGCGUUAUCCGGAAUUAUUGGGUUUAAAGGGUGCGUAGGCGGACUAAUAAGUCAGUGGUGAAAGCCUGCAGCUUAACUGCAGAAUUGCCAUUGAUACUGUUAGUCUUGAGUACAGUUGAGGUAGGCGGAAUGUGUCAUGUAGCGGUGAAAUGCUUAGAUAUGACACAGAACACCGAUUGCGAAGGCAGCUUGCUAAGCUGUAACUGACGCUGAGGCACGAAAGCGUGGGGAGCAAACA